GUGCUCACUUUGGCACCACUUAUACUAACAUUGGAAUGGUGCAGAAAUUACUAUAGCCCCUGCACAGAGAUGACACACAAAUUUGUGACACAUUACAUAUUGUU
Molecule: small nuclear RNA, 104 nt
Organism: Suricata suricatta (meerkat)
Lineage: Eukaryota; Metazoa; Chordata; Mammalia; Carnivora; Herpestidae
Source: Ensembl